Molecule: ribosomal RNA, 368 nt
Filed under: uncultured organism
Description: bacterial SSU rRNA
Rfam family: Bacterial small subunit ribosomal RNA
Source: RNAcentral
CGGAGGGUGCAAGCGUUAUCCGGAUUCACUGGGUUUAAAGGGUGCGUAGGUGGGCUAGUAAGUCCGUGGUGAAAUCCCUGAGCUUAACUUGGGAACUGCCAUUGAUACUAUUAGUCUUGAAUAUCGUGGAGGUAAGCGGAAUAUGUCAUGUAGCGGUGAAAUGCUUAGAUAUGACAUAGAACACCAAUUGCGAAGGCAGCUUGCUACACGGUCAUUGACACUGAGGCACGAAAGCGUGGGGAGCAAACAGGAUUAGAUACCCUGGUAGUCCACGCCCUAAACUAUGGAUACUCGACAUCAGCGAUACACUGUUGGUGUCUGAGCGAAAGCAUUAAGUAUCCCACCUGGGAAGUACGAUCGCAAGAUUG